RNAcentral lists this long non-coding RNA (43400 nucleotides) under Mytilus galloprovincialis (Mediterranean mussel). The record is from RNAcentral. Lineage: Eukaryota; Metazoa; Mollusca; Bivalvia; Mytilida; Mytilidae.
AGAUUAAGAGACUACAAAGAUGAAGAAACAAACAGAUUCACAAAUUUACAUACAAGCAUGUCUUGUCUUCCUUGUGUUCAUCUCUAUGACAACAGCAUCUGGUUACCAUGACUACUGUAUUAUUGGUGCUGGACCAGGAGGCCUUCAGUUAGGAUAUUAUUUGCAGCAACAGAAUAGAGACUAUAUUAUUUAUGAACGUACAAAUAUUUCAGGUAUGCAAAAAAAGAUAACAUUUUGUUUUGUACAAAGUCAGAACCCUGUCAAUACAUCUAAUCGCUAUUUGUCUGGACAUCACAAGGACUUCACAAAGGUUCCCUUAAAAUUUUCAUGUCAUAAUAGAAAAUAUAAAUGGAAAAGUGAUUGUUGUAUGUUGUCAAUAGUCCAAGAGUAGCAGAUUCUCUGGACAAGUGGUGCAGAUUUCCAAAUAGUUUAUUUGGAAAUCCAACCAAAAUUAAGCCUUAUUAUUAUUUGUCCUGGCUUUUCUUUGUUAUUCUAUGAUUAUUGUCUAAUGAUUUCACAAUGUCAUGUCAUUUAUCUGUACUGUCAGUCUAACUCCAGUUCAAAUUUCAAACAUUUAGUGAUGAUUUACCAAUAUGUUGUGGAGAAAUCAGAUAGCUCAUUAGAUGUAGUUUUUUCUCUCUCAUAUUAAACCAUUUUAAUAAUGAUAGAAUAUAUUCAUAAUGAAUUGUAUAGAUGCCUUUGGUGACAUACAAACUUAUAUAUUUAAUAUAUCUCUUAGACAAAAGAAAUGUCAUUUAGCUUUGAUAACCUAUGCUAAGCAUACUGUUAUUUUAAGUUAAUAGGAGGAAAUUACCAGCCCACAUACAAAUGACCUAAGUUCUUAGCAAAUCUUGUUUUAUUCACAUAUUUUACAAUGCCUGUCUUAAAAUGCAAUCAUCACAUCUUAUUUCCAGGAUAUCUAUAGUAUUACAGAGCCAUUUGAUAACUGGCGCUCCUGUUUAUGGCUCUGAUCAUAUUAAAGCCAAAACAGUUUUAAUGUCUUCUAUAAUUAUGGUAUUCCAAAUAUUGUUCAUUGAAAGAUUCUCGAGGGAUCUUGAAUGAAUUCUAGUGAGCAUCAGCUGUUAAUGGAAUACUCUAAUACUGCAGAUUUUUACGAUGCUCAUAGUGACGAAUUCUUCACUCGAUGAUAAAUUGGUAGUUGCACUUUCAGUUGAAUUCACACUGUAAACUAAAUUAUUUCUCCGUUACGUUAUAUAAACUUUGUUUGAAUCAAAGUGAUCAAGACAAAAUCGUUUGAUUUGUUCUGAAUUAAACAUAAAUUUCUUAUUCUGUCAAAGUUAGAAGUGUUUUGUGUUUUUUGUUUUGUUACAUUGUAACACUGAAUAGUUUCUCGUUAAAAACAUUUGUUUUCAUUAAGCUUGAUUAAGUAAAUAAAGAGAAAUAUUUUUAUAUUUUCCACAUGAAUUUUGCAUGACAAAUAAUAAGCUGCUAUUUAUUUUGAACUGUGAAAAUAUGGAAAUUUUGUAAGGAAAGUGUGAAAAGCUAAUUUAGAUUGCUGUCCCUAUCAAAAUUUAGAUAUGAGAUCUUUACACUGUCAGUGUUAGAUUUAUUGACAAAUUUUUGUUCCAUUAACUAAGUUUUAUAGAAAUUCCAAAAAUAAAUGGAUACAUUUUAUUUUAAUAUUUAAUACAGGUUAAAAAAAUGAAUUCAUAACAUAAAGGAAUUUGAUUAGUGUUGACAUCAAAAGUAUUUUUGCAAAAAUAUUGUUUUUUUUUACUAUAUCCCUUAUACAAUCCUGUCCAUUAUUGUUUCAAUUUUUUUCUGUUAUGUAAUAUUUCACUCUCAUAUUAGAUAUUAUAUACCCAAUCAUAAAUUUAUGAUUAUGCAUUGUAGACAGAGUGGUAACCUGUGAAAACAUUGACUUUGUUGCUCAGUAUGAUUAUUGCUUUGAACACAUUUAAGCAAAAUAAUCUCUCCUGGCCAAAUUAUAUAUUUCCUUAUUGAAUUCUUAACAGACUAUCAUUUUGAAUUAUUUCUUAUAUUAUAUUUUAUAUAUGUCUGAAAAUAUGAUCAAAUGAUUUAUAAAAUAAAUUUCUUAACACAGGUCAGCCAUUUAUUGUGCCCUUCCAACGGACUAUUAUCGUUUUAUCAAGACAAUACUCUUUGAAAUUUAUUAUAGAUAUAGAAACUUAAGGAACCAAAAAUGAUCCGCAAGACAAGUCCUACUUACUGCCCUUUUGCGAUUUUUUCUAAUUUCAAAGAGUGAAAUUUUAACAGAAACAAAAUUAUCAACUUUACAAGAUGAACAAAAAAGAUCAAAGUUAUAGAAUGAAUAUAGAAGUUCAAAUAUAUAGGUGAGAGAAACUAGCUAUUCAGACCCUCUCCUUUUAUACCACAUAGAAAAUACAAGAAAAGUGUAUAUAAUUCUUGAAGAAUCCAUGAAUUGAAUAUUGUUUUUAUUGGGCUUGUUGAUCUAAUGACUUUCUUUAAAAACUUUAUUUAAAUAUGUCUGAUUAGGUAAUGCAUUUAUGUCUGGUUUUUAGAGGAAAAUAUAUUCAUGGAUUGUUGAUGUUUGAGGCGGAAUUAGUUUAUUUUUUAUUUGUCUGAUGUAACCUGUUUUUAGCAGUGAUUCUUUACAACAGCCGAGCUCUAAUGUCCUGCUAAAAGAUUGUCAGAAUCCACAAAUUACAUCUAAAUUCAAUUAACUUAGGUCAUUACUGUAUGAUGAUAGUGGUGUAUCUUUAUUUGGUGAAAACGUGGUGGAAGUUGUAAAAACUAAUCAUUUCCCAGAUCAAAUCUUACGGAAAUUUGUCAAACUAUCUCUUAACUCAUCUUCUGUGAAACAGUCAUGUCAAUCAAUGUCGCAAUUUAUUUUGAGUUGGCGGAAACAGAUCAGGCAAAAGAGUUAUCAUUUAAAUUAAAAUCUUUAGGAUGAAACAAAGCAAAUAUAAUGUUUGGGUGAAUACACUAAAAGAAAUGAAAUGAGUUUAAACCACUGAAAGAACAGUUUGAUGAACAAGUUUUUGUUCAAUUAGGGAUAUAGUGUUUAACAGUAAUUUAUAUGUAAAUAGAUGUCUUAAAUUAUUGAAUCAUUGAAUUCAAUUAAUACUGCAGAUUGAACUGAAAAAAUAUAGAUAAAGACUAUGUAACAUUCAGGUUCAAAGUCUCAUCCUCCUGAAAAAAGAUAUAGGGAUUGAGUACGGAUUUUCUCUAAUUUUUAUUGUCACUAAAAAUAUAAUUUGUAUAAAGAAAUGACAUUGACAACAUAAGCUGAAAGCUAUGGGUAGGUCCCUUAACAUUACAAAUCCAAUCAUAUAAUACAUUGUACUUUGAAAUUUGAUGUCAGAUAUUUUCCAUUAAAAAAUCUAAACCUAAUUUGGAAAAACCUGCAUAAGGUUUAAUGGCCACACUAGCAUUAUUUUCUUAUAUUUCCAUCCAACUGUCUAUCAAACAUUUUUCCAUUUAUAUUUAUAAUCCAUUUCAAAUAUUUCUUAAAACUUCAAGCUAAUUUUAUGAUACUAUAGGCACUGGAACUUUAAAUCUCAAAGACUUUCAACUUUAAAUAAGUUGUAAUCAGUAAAGCAAGCAUUUCACUUCUCAUUUGGAGAAAUGUCUCAUAAUUGUUUUGUGUGCCAGAAAAAAAACUGGUGAGGGGCAUAAAGGGGGUGUGUGUGUGAUCUGCACAGAAGAACUCGAAAUAAAAUUGCCAUUUCAUGAUGAACGGAACAGUUAAAAAUGUCCUGCAACGUUGAUCUUUUUACCGAUUUCAUGAAACACGGUGAAUAACGAACCUUUUUCACAGUUGCACGUAAAAUAAAAAUGGCAAAACACAUUGCAUGAAAAUAACCCUUUAUUACCCUCUAUGGUCUUUCAAAACUUUUAUCUGAAAUAACUUGUAUGGCAAGGAUUCUAUCAUACUAUUAUGAUGUCAUACAAUGCAAUUCACUUAGUUUUGUAUCUAGUGCCCUGUAAUGUUAUCAUGCUAAUAAAAUGAUUACAUUAAGAAGUUCUGAUAGAUCCCACAUUAUGUUUUAUCUCCGUUAAUUAAUUUUACAUUAGUUCAGAAAUGGAUGUUCCUUUUAGAGCAACUACGUCUGAGAACAUGAAUUGUAUUCCUUGUAUCUUUUACACAUCAAAAGAAGACGAAAGUUACUUGGGCGGGUUAGAAAAAAGCAGGCUUUCAACAUUCUACUAUUUUAUUGAUGGUUAAAACUAAUUACAAAGAGAGAAUGGAAAUCAAUGUAAGAUAACAAUAUAAAUCCAUCAUUAUUUCCUUAUUUUAUAAUCAGAUAUGAUGAGUCUGUAAUAGCAUCUUUAUCCAGCUUUAAUACAAUUCAUGACUUUCAUUUUAAAACCUAAACAAUUAGCUUCAUCAAUGUUCAUGACAGGGAUGUAUGUAACUGUCCUUCUUAUAUAACACGUUCAUGAUUUCUCAGUUAAUAUUCAUUGCCAUGAUCAUAAGUGUUCAUACAGACACAAAUUUAUUAAAUGUAAUAAAAAUGUAAUUAAUUGUAAUAAUUUAAGGUUGAUUUUAUUAUUGGGAAGCAGGCUGAUGAUUUAUAUGUAUAAUUAUUAUCCUAUGUACAUGAUUUAAUUAUGAAAUUUAAUAAGAUAAGGCUACAAGCCUACAAGGGGAGAUUAAUAUUACCUAGCUAUUUUCUUCAUUCCAUAAUGUCUUUAUAAAUGAUAGAAAAUUAAUGUAUAUGGUAUAUAUGAAAAAUGAUAUUCAAGUAUCAAUUAGAAAAUGCAAUUAGAAGAAUAUACUUUAAAUAAGACUGUAAUUAAGCUUAUUCCCUUAGGAGAUUAGGAUGAUAAAAAUGUACCUUGAUCCUCGGAAUUUGCUACUAAUAUUAAAUACAUGUAAUGAUCUUCUUUGUUUGGCAUUUCACUUGAGGACAAAUUUAGUUAUUUAACAGUUAAUCAUACAAUAAUUAAAUCUUUGUAAGAUAUGUCCUUUGGGAAGAUGUUAUGAUGAAAAACAAUUUUCCACGUCCACUUGUAUUUUUGUCCAUCUGAUGAGUUAAGCCUUUUUCAACUGAUUUUUAUAGUUCGUUCUUAUGUUGUACUGUUAUACCACUGUCCCAGGUUCGGGGAGGGUUGGGAUCCCGCUAACAUUGUUUAACCCCGCCACAUUAUUUAUGUAUGUGCCUGUCCCAAGUCAGGAGCCUGUAAUUCAGUGGUUGUCGUUUGUUUAUGUGUUACAUAUUUGUUUUUCGUUUAUUUUUUUUUACAUAAAUAAGGCCGUUAGUUUUCUCGUUUGAAUUGUUUUACAUUAUCUUAUCGGGGCCUUUUAUAGCUCACUAUGCGGUAUGGGCUUUGCUCAUUGUUGAAGGCCGUACGGUGACCUAUAGUUGUUAAUGUCUGUGUCAUUUUGGUCUUUUGUGGAUAGUUGUCUCAUUGGCAAUCAUACCACAUCUUCUUUUUUAUAUAUUCUAUAAAUGUUUCGAUUGUUCUCAAGAAUAAUUUUUAAGUCACCCUUAAGAUAUUAAUGUCAUUAAUAUAAGUAGCUAAAUAUAUAUAUAUAUAUUUGCCAAUUAAGGAUAUUACUAACUGAUGAAUUAUAUGGUAGGUAUAUAUACUGGACUAGAUGAUUGGUUACAGCUUUUACAUUAAUGCUAGCAAGACAAAUCUUUGUUUGGCUUGCUUGCUUUGUUUGCAUCAAUGUUUGCUCAAGCAUAGCAAUUAAGAUAGGUGGGGCUUCAGCUUGUAUACAUCAUACUUAAAUUUUAUUGGACGUUAUGUUUGAGGUUAAGGACACCAAAUUUUAAAACAUCACAGGAUGACAAUAUAAAGCGCAAUCGUAGAAAUGGAAGCAAAAAAAAAAAAAUAAAAAAAUUUCGAAGAUGUGCAUUUUCAGCAUCCAACUUAAAAGACUGUCGUCAAGUACUUUUAGAAAAACAAAAUAGCUAUUCGAACACACCUACUCUGAUUUUGUGAUUCAUUACAAAGGUAUUUCUUUUGACCCAUAUAUUUCAUAUUUUAGUACUGUGACUUUUUUAUGUUAUAAAGUCAACCUGUAGCUUUGCUAUAUAAAAAUGAUAGAAUUUGAAGCGAGGUGAUGUAUCAAAUUCUCUUGCUUUGUGCGUUUUCAAGACAAAAUAUUCAUCUCAAACACACCCUAACAUAAGAAGGUACACUCGAUUUUCUCUUUUCGAUACAAUUGUUACCCAUUUUUGGAUUUUUUUUCUUGAGUUACAUAAUGGAAGGACAGACACGGAAAUAACUGAACUUAUAGGUUGAUAUGUUCUCCGUCCGUGGUAAUUUUAAAAAAAAUCGAAGGUUAUGCAUUUUCUUCGUCCAACUUGAUAGAUACCCAUGUCGUCGACUUGAUAUCCAAUUGUUCUGCUUAACUAUGUAAUAGAUAAAUUGAAACUUAUGCAAAUGUUGGUUUUGUUAACAAUAAAACACUUUGUAUUUGAAAAGAAAAGUGUUUUUUUAUUUGUUUUUAUUAACCUUUCAAAAAUUUGGUAACUAUACAAAAAUCAUUUAUCGCCUUUUCAAUAAACAAACAAUAAUCAGUUUGAAGGUUUACAAGCAGAAAUUAAUCCAAAGGGUUAAAUGGACAUAAUAAGUAAUAGGGAUAAAUUAAGAAGGGGGGGGGGCAAAUGACAGAAUAUUACAAGUUCAUUAUUUCAACAUUUUUGCAAUUAUGAAUAAAUAAUUGUUAACAAAAUGUUUUACUAGAAAUUGGAAUAUAGAAAGUGUGGACAUCAAAAGUUUACUUAAUAAUUAUACAGACAAUGCGCCCUUUUACAAAACAUUAAUUGUUUCACAAAUAAAGUAAAAUAAUUUCUUAAAACAUAGCAAAACAAAUCGGUCUGAUUGGUAGAAUUUCACAUGAGCCGUGGUAUAGCAAACAUCUUAUUCCCCCACUUAUUUUUAUCACACACAUCAUUAUUUUUUUUAUACUCAACUAGUUGUGUUUAUUUCCUUAAUAUAGUAACCUAACUAUAUUUUGCAUAAUGUCAAUUUCAUCAUGGAACACUUUCUCCACAAUAAGGGGUUCAUUACGGGAUAAAAAUGAGUUUGACAAUUGUGUUGUUACUCAUUUAAAAAGCUAUCAGUGUAUAGUAACUAUUUGUUUAAGUUGCAGUAUAAAAACAAUAUUAGGUCAAUGUCAUAACAAUAUAAACUUUUUUGUACUCGGUGCAAAACUGUGGGAAGCCAGUGGCGUAGCUAUGUCAUUUCUACGUGUACGCCCAAACCUCGGUGAGGCUAAAGAAACUGCUGGUAGUGGAUAAGCGGGGGCAUGACUAAUUUCAGCUGAUCUACUGAUUGUUACCCCUCCGAUAUCCAAUUUAUCAUAAAUAAAUCGAAAUAUUUAUAUUUUCCGUGUUUCGUUACGAUCCGAUAUAAAUCAAAAUUGACUAGAACACACCCGUGAUAUUGCGGGUCCGUGACUGAAUUAAAGUAUACAACUAUGCGCAAGCCUUAUCUUAGUAUUAGUACUGUCAUCUGAUAAGUCAUGCCGAUUAUAAGAUACACAAUUUUCUCUGCUUUCAAAUCUUUCUGUUUGAACCCGUCGAACUGGAACUUAUCAAUUAUUGGUAAUAUUAAAUAUUUGGAAAACAAAAGUCCUGGAAUGGAGUAUUUUUUAAUUAACAGCAUUGUCCUAUAUUAGUUAUAAAUAAAGUUGAAUUCUUUGAUUCGCUGUUUUACGUCAUGCCCGCUAACAAAUUGAAACUUAUUUUUAGUCCAGAUUUUUAGUAUUCAAAUUGUUAUCUUAGAAAGUCUUACGGAUUAAAAUACUACAAUAGGUAACAAUUUGACAAUUUAGUAGUGUCAACCCUGUGAUUAUGACCUGUUUAUAUAGCAUAUUAAUCCUGAAUACACCGUUUGGUGGUGCGCCUGUCAGAUGCGGAACGUACAGAUAAGGUAAUAGGUAACAGGUGAUUAUACUAUUGGUAUCGGUAUCGGACUCGACCCGGAACUUCCUAAUUAUUGGCGAUAUUAAUUACGUGGAAAACAAAAGGGCCUGGAGUGGUGUAAUUUUUAAUCUACACCUUUGUACUAUAUUAGUUGUAUAUAAAGUUGAAUUCUUUGAUUCGUCGUAUUUACGUGAUGACGGCUGACAAAUUGGACCUCGUAAUUUAAGUAUUAUAGAUACAUGGUUUCAUUUGUGUAGUGCAGUGGCAAAUUCAAAAGGGACCCAUAAUUUAAAGAAUAAGCAUAUUUCUUACUAAAUAGAUUAGAGAGACCAAAAGAAUGACAGAACAUAGAAAUAUAGAAAUGAUGCAACCCCCCCCCCCCUAAAAACUCCCUGUUGGCCCUAAUCCAGACCCUCAUAUAUAUCACUGUGACAUAUAGUUUUGUUUAAUAUAUUUAAUUGUUUUUGUAUUCAAGAAGAAUAUUUUAUUUCUGUACAAAGAGUUGUUAAUAUAUGUAAUGGACAAUAUAUACCAUGCCCUGUCAGCCAGAGUGGUAAUAUAAUUUCAAUGAAAGAAAGUAUUUGAAAGAUUGACUCCCUGUGCAUUCGAUUAUUAAACGGUGGCCAGAUCGUCUGAUUUAAAUUGCCCUACAGAAAGUCCGACUGUUGGUAUAAAACUUAAAAAUGAACGAAAAACUUUUUGCUUCAGAAAUUAACCAUGAAAAAAAACUUUAAUUCGACGAAGGUUUCACGAAGUAAUUGAUAUGUAAUAAAUUUUAACCUUCGACUGUAAAUGCAAAAAGAAAUUCCUUUUAAUACAUAAAAUACGGGAAAACUCAUCAUAUAUAAUUUCGUCAUUAUGCUCUGGAUACUCAUUUGACCAUUAACAGUUUUUGUCCAGCUACAGUAAAAUUUUACGAAGGUUUGACAAAGUUAUUGAUAUCUUAAAACUUUAAAACUACAUAAUGAACCUACAUGUACAUAGUUAUAAUUUUGGCACCGUCGACGAAAUUUAGGAUCAAAAUGUCUCCUUUCGCGACAAACGUCAAUGGGUCGACAACAAAGUGCAAACCACUAUCAUACGUCCUUUCUUCCACCAGGUUCCGUGCAUCUCUCAGAACAUUUCCAGAAAGCAUGAUUUGCAUCAUUUGUUCUAUAGCUUCUUGGGCCUUCGUGUCCAAAACCCUUCAAAAAAUUUUUGCCUGCUUCGCUCGGCCAGAGUAGGUUUGCCAAAACAUUUAAAGUGCCUAGUUAUGACUAACUUAACUAUGUGUAUAUGCAGUUGAUUUAAAGAUUCAUUUCUGUAGGGGGAUGGUUAAUCUAAUAAAUGUUACAUAAUGACUUGACUAUUAAUGUAUUAUUUAUAAACAAAAUCUAAAAAAUUGUAUGUUUUCGAUAUCAAAAAAUAGUUGUGAAAUGAUAAAUCAGUCUUGCUUUAAUGAAUGAAAAUCUUGCUUCAAUAGUGCAGAAAAUGAAUAUGUCCUCUUAGUUUCAAAAAUAAUAACCGAUCAAAACAAUCUCCUGCCCCCCCCCCCCCCCAGAAUAUCAAAUGGUCGUCCCCUAGUAUAACUUUCUAGGAUUUGCUCUUUAUGGGUAAAUCUCAAUUCUCAUCAGUAUGGUUUUGCUUUACUGACUUAUAUUUGUUCUUGUGUGUAAAUCUCAAUUCUCAAUCAGUUUGGUGUUGUGCUUUAACUUUCUAAGAUUGCUCUUUGUGCGUAAUCUCAAUUCUCAAUCAGUUUGGUAUUGUGGUUUACAUUCUAGGUUUUUCUCUAUGUGUGUAAAUCUAAUUCACAAUAGUAUAAUGUUCCAGGAUUUGUUCUAUGUGUGUAAAUCUCAAUUCUCAAUUAGUAUAUUGUUUGUGGUAUAACUUUCUAGGUUUUGCUUUAUGUGUGUAAAUCUCAAUUCACAAUCAGUAUAAUGUUCCAGGAUUUGUUCUAUGUGUGUAAAUCUCAAUUCUCAAUCAGUAUAUUGUUUGUGGUAUAACUUUCUAUGAUUUGUUCUAUGUGUGUAAAUCUCAAUCAGUAUAUUGUUGUGGUAUAACUUCCUAGGAUUUGAUCUAUGUGUGUAAAUCUCAAUUCUCAAUCAGUAUAUUGUUGUGGUAUAACUUCCCAUGUUUGUUGGACAUUUUGACACUGACAGUACAUCAACAUGAAAUACAGACCUUCUAGAACAAUACAGAUCGACCCCAAAACAAUGCUUCAACCUUUUUCAUCAGUUAAGGGAAAUGGAAUAUAAACAAAGUCUUUGAAAACUUUGUAAUUUAUGUUCUAGAAGGCAACAUUGACUUUUCUCUGGUUUCCGUGCUUUCUAUGGCGAUUAUGACAUUUUGUUAAUUAUAAGUAACCUUAUACAGAAAUGAAGCCUUGCUUUAUGUUACUCUUUGGUGACGCAUCUGUGGUUCCGGAAACUAGUUUAGUAAUUAUACCAUGUUGCAUGCGAGAGUUAUAACAGAAUGAUAUAAAAGCUGUUAUUUAUUACGUGUAGAACCCAUCUUAGUUGUCAGUUUUCACGUUCUCAUCUUUUUAAUGUAUCGGUUUUGAUUUGAUAGUUUUCUUUUAAUAUCAAACAUUUCUAUUAUUCCAAAUUUUUUGCGUGCAACCAAAAGUGUGCAGAAGUUCUUCUGUUUUAAUACCUUUAAUGUUUAAUUUUCUGAUAUUAUAAAUCAUGGAAAGGACAGGGGAAAAUAUCUUCAAAGAGGUACUAAUUUUAUCAAAAGAUUAAAGCGGUAAUUUUGAAUGAUUAAUACUUGAAAGUGUUUCUAACAAACAGCUAAAAAAACAACAAAUAUUUGAAUAAUUUGCAAAAUAAAUCUAAUAUGAUUUCUUGCAAAGCAUUUCAAGGCAAAGCAAUGAGUUUAUAGGCUAUAAAUUGUAAUAUUAAAUAGUGCAGUAUAUGUGCUUUGUGAUUUCGGUACCUGAUAGAACCGUUAAUAUGAAUGAAUUAAAACAUUUCUGCCACGAAAUAUUACAGGCUAAAAAUGAUUUUGUUUGUAAUAAUGUAAACAACAGAUAGCAACGCUUUUAACUGAAGCAUACUGUGAACUGAUGUGGUACCAUUAUGAAACAUAAUAUUUACCAAGUUAAAUUAGUACUUGGUGAAAAAAUUGAGAAUGGAAAUGGGGAAUAUGUUAAAUAGACAAUAACCCGACCACAAAUCAGAUUACAGCCGAAGGCCACCAAAGGGUCUUCAACGCAGCGAGAAUAUCCCGCACCAUGAGGUGGGCCUCAGCUGGCCCCCAAAUAAUAAUGUGUACUAGUUCAGAUAAAAUGAAUGUCAUAAUAAACUCGAACAUAUACAAAUGAACCGAAAUUAAAAAAAAAAUCAAGAUCAACAAAGGUCAGAGGCUCCCAACUUGGGACAGCCGCAAACAUGCGGAGGGGGUAACAUGUUUUGGGAUAUCUCAACCCUCCCCUAAUACCUCUAGCCAAUGUAAAAUAAAGAAACACACAUCAAUACACUAAGUAAAACUCAGUUUAAAAGAAGUCCGAUUCCAAUGUCAGAAUAGAUAUAUAACAAAAGAUUCUAAGCAAAAUGACAAUGAUGCAUAAAUUAACAAAGGACUACUAGCAGUUACUGACGUGCCAGCUCCAGACCUCAAUUAUACUGACUGAAAGAUUAUGUCUUCAUCUUUCAAUUAGUUUAAUAUACUCUUCUUGGUUUCAAGUUAUUAACACUUUUGCUUUUGUCAUGUCUAUUUUAUUAAACCCCUCGGCCUAACUUAUUUUGAAUGAUAUUCAUGUUUUGAACACAGACUACGCAUGUGCAUGUCUUCUAUUUCAUUCACAAUCCAGCCUUCGAAAUCGUCCGUAUUUUUUUUUUUUUUUCAUUUUUAUACUGAGGUCAAAUGUCCGAGUUUUUUUUCUCAAAACUAGUCCAUUUUUUUAAUUUUAAAAAAUGCUAAUGAAAUAUUGCAUUUUGUUUGAUUGUAACAAAGGCUUUAAGCUCAAAUUAAUAUGAGCUUAAACGAAAUCACUUAAAAGAAAUAGCUCCGAAAUUGUAUAAUGAAAUAUUAAAUCCUUGUAAAUUGUUAAAAAAAAAAGAAAAAUGAAGACACAAAGUGGACAACAAAAAUCAAAAUUCAUAUGAAACAGAAAUACCAUUUCCAACCGAUUGGAUAGACAAACAAUUAUAAUUAUACAUGUAAUAACAAAAACANNNNNNNNNNNNNNNNNNNNNNNNNNNNNNNNNNNNNNNNNNNNNNNNNNNNNNNNNNNNNNNNNNNNNNNNNNNNNNNNNNNNNNNNNNNNNNNNNNNNNNNNNNNNNNNNNNNNNNNNNNNNNNNNNNNNNNNNNNNNNNNNNNNNNNNNNNNNNNNNNNNNNNNNNNNNNNNNNNNNNNNNNNNNNNNNNNNNNNNNNNNNNNNNNNNNNNNNNNNNNNNNNNNNNNNNNNNNNNNNNNNNNNNNNNNNNNNNNNNNNNNNNNNNNNNNNNNNNNNNNNNNNNNNNNNNNNNNNNNNNNNNNNNNNNNNNNNNNNNNNNNNNNNNNNNNNNNNNNNNNNNNNNNNNNNNNNNNNNNNNNNNNNNNNNNNNNNNNNNNNNNNNNNNNNNNNNNNNNNNNNNNNNNNNNNNNNNNNNNNNNNNNNNNNNNNNNNNNNNNNNNNNNNNNNNNNNNNNNNNNNNNNNNNNNNNNNNNNNNNNNNNNNNNNNNNNNNNNNNNNNNNNNNNNNNNNNNNNNNNNNNNNNNNNNNNNNNNNNNNNNNNNNNNNNNNNNNNNNNNNNNNNNNNNNNNNNNNNNNNNNNNNNNNNNNNNNNNNNNNNNNNNNNNNNNNNNNNNNNNNNNNNNNNNNNNNNNNNNNNNNNNNNNNNNNNNNNNNNNNNNNNNNNNNNNNNNNNNNNNNNNNNNNNNNNNNNNNNNNNNNNNNNNNNNNNNNNNNNNNNNNNNNNNNNNNNNNNNNNNNNNNNNNNNNNNNNNNNNNNNNNNNNNNNNNNNNNNNNNNNNNNNNNNNNNNNNNNNNNNNNNNNNNNNNNNNNNNNNNNNNNNNNNNNNNNNNNNNNNNNNNNNNNNNNNNNNNNNNNNNNNNNNNNNNNNNNNNNNNNNNNNNNNNNNNNNNNNNNNNNNNNNNNNNNNNNNNNNNNNNNNNNNNNNNNNNNNNNNNNNNNNNNNNNNNNNNNNNNNNNNNNNNNNNNNNNNNNNNNNNNNNNNNNNNNNNNNNNNNNAUGAUUAUUGUUCUAAUUGAUUUCCACAAUGUCAUGUCAUUUAUCUGUACUGUCAGUCUAACUCCAGUUCAAAUUUCAAACAUUUAGUGAUGAUUUACCAAUAUGUUGUGGAGAAAUCAGAUAGCUCAUUAGAUGUAGUUUUUUCUCUCUCAUAUUAAACCAUUUUAAUAAUGAUAGAAUAUAUUCAUAAUGAAUUGUAUAGAUGCCUUUGGUGACAUACAAACUUAUAUAUUUAAUAUAUCUCUUAGACAAAAGAAAUGUCAUUUAGCUUUGAUAACCUAUGCUAAGCAUACUGUUAUUUUAAGUUAAUAGGAGGAAAUUACCAGCCCACAUACAAAUGACCUAAGUUCUUAGCAAAUCUUGUUUUAUUCACAUAUUUUACAAUGCCUGUCUUAAAAUGCAAUCAUCACAUCUUAUUUCCAGGAUAUCUAUAGUAUUACAGAGCCAUUUGAUAACUGGCGCUCCUGUUUAUGGCUCUGAUCAUAUUAAAGCCAAAACAGUUUUAAUGUCUUCUAUAAUUAUGGUAUUCCAAAUAUUGUUCAUUGAAAGAUUCUCGAGGGAUCUUGAAUGAAUUCUAGUGAGCAUCAGCUGUUAAUGGAAUACUCUAAUACUGCAGAUUUUUACGAUGCUCAUAGUGACGAAUUCUUCACUCGAUGAUAAAUUGGUAGUUGCACUUUCAGUUGAAUUCACACUGUAAACUAAAUUAUUUCUCCGUUACGUUAUAUAAACUUUGUUUGAAUCAAAGUGAUCAAGACAAAAUCGUUUGAUUUGUUCUGAAUUAAACAUAAAUUUCUUAUUCUGUCAAAGUUAGAAGUGUUUUGUGUUUUUUGUUUUGUUACAUUGUAACACUGAAUAGUUUCUCGUUAAAAACAUUUGUUUUCAUUAAGCUUGAUUAAGUAAAUAAAGAGAAAUAUUUUUAUAUUUUCCACAUGAAUUUUGCAUGACAAAUAAUAAGCUGCUAUUUAUUUUGAACUGUGAAAAUAUGGAAAUUUUGUAAGGAAAGUGUGAAAAGCUAAUUUAGAUUGCUGUCCCUAUCAAAAUUUAGAUAUGAGAUCUUUACACUGUCAGUGUUAGAUUUAUUGACAAAUUUUUGUUCCAUUAACUAAGUUUUAUAGAAAUUCCAAAAAUAAAUGGAUACAUUUUAUUUUAAUAUUUAAUACAGGUUAAAAAAAUGAAUUCAUAACAUAAAGGAAUUUGAUUAGUGUUGACAUCAAAAGUAUUUUUGCAAAAAUAUUGUUUUUUUUUACUAUAUCCCUUAUACAAUCCUGUCCAUUAUUGUUUCAAUUUUUUUCUGUUAUGUAAUAUUUCACUCUCAUAUUAGAUAUUAUAUACCCAAUCAUAAAUUUAUGAUUAUGCAUUGUAGACAGAGUGGUAACCUGUGAAAACAUUGACUUUGUUGCUCAGUAUGAUUAUUGCUUUGAACACAUUUAAGCAAAAUAAUCUCUCCUGGCCAAAUUAUAUAUUUCCUUAUUGAAUUCUUAACAGACUAUCAUUUUGAAUUAUUUCUUAUAUUAUAUUUUAUAUAUGUCUGAAAAUAUGAUCAAAUGAUUUAUAAAAUAAAUUUCUUAACACAGGUCAGCCAUUUAUUGUGCCCUUCCAACGGACUAUUAUCGUUUUAUCAAGACAAUACUCUUUGAAAUUUAUUAUAGAUAUAGAAACUUAAGGAACCAAAAAUGAUCCGCAAGACAAGUCCUACUUACUGCCCUUUUGCGAUUUUUUCUAAUUUCAAAGAGUGAAAUUUUAACAGAAACAAAAUUAUCAACUUUACAAGAUGAACAAAAAAGAUCAAAGUUAUAGAAUGAAUAUAGAAGUUCAAAUAUAUAGGUGAGAGAAACUAGCUAUUCAGACCCUCUCCUUUUAUACCACAUAGAAAAUACAAGAAAAGUGUAUAUAAUUCUUGAAGAAUCCAUGAAUUGAAUAUUGUUUUUAUUGGGCUUGUUGAUCUAAUGACUUUCUUUAAAAACUUUAUUUAAAUAUGUCUGAUUAGGUAAUGCAUUUAUGUCUGGUUUUUAGAGGAAAAUAUAUUCAUGGAUUGUUGAUGUUUGAGGCGGAAUUAGUUUAUUUUUUAUUUGUCUGAUGUAACCUGUUUUUAGCAGUGAUUCUUUACAACAGCCGAGCUCUAAUGUCCUGCUAAAAGAUUGUCAGAAUCCACAAAUUACAUCUAAAUUCAAUUAACUUAGGUCAUUACUGUAUGAUGAUAGUGGUGUAUCUUUAUUUGGUGAAAACGUGGUGGAAGUUGUAAAAACUAAUCAUUUCCCAGAUCAAAUCUUACGGAAAUUUGUCAAACUAUCUCUUAACUCAUCUUCUGUGAAACAGUCAUGUCAAUCAAUGUCGCAAUUUAUUUUGAGUUGGCGGAAACAGAUCAGGCAAAAGAGUUAUCAUUUAAAUUAAAAUCUUUAGGAUGAAACAAAGCAAAUAUAAUGUUUGGGUGAAUACACUAAAAGAAAUGAAAUGAGUUUAAACCACUGAAAGAACAGUUUGAUGAACAAGUUUUUGUUCAAUUAGGGAUAUAGUGUUUAACAGUAAUUUAUAUGUAAAUAGAUGUCUUAAAUUAUUGAAUCAUUGAAUUCAAUUAAUACUGCAGAUUGAACUGAAAAAAUAUAGAUAAAGACUAUGUAACAUUCAGGUUCAAAGUCUCAUCCUCCUGAAAAAAGAUAUAGGGAUUGAGUACGGAUUUUCUCUAAUUUUUAUUGUCACUAAAAAUAUAAUUUGUAUAAAGAAAUGACAUUGACAACAUAAGCUGAAAGCUAUGGGUAGGUCCCUUAACAUUACAAAUCCAAUCAUAUAAUACAUUGUACUUUGAAAUUUGAUGUCAGAUAUUUUCCAUUAAAAAAUCUAAACCUAAUUUGGAAAAACCUGCAUAAGGUUUAAUGGCCACACUAGCAUUAUUUUCUUAUAUUUCCAUCCAACUGUCUAUCAAACAUUUUUCCAUUUAUAUUUAUAAUCCAUUUCAAAUAUUUCUUAAAACUUCAAGCUAAUUUUAUGAUACUAUAGGCACUGGAACUUUAAAUCUCAAAGACUUUCAACUUUAAAUAAGUUGUAAUCAGUAAAGCAAGCAUUUCACUUCUCAUUUGGAGAAAUGUCUCAUAAUUGUUUUGUGUGCCAGAAAAAAAACUGGUGAGGGGCAUAAAGGGGGUGUGUGUGUGAUCUGCACAGAAGAACUCGAAAUAAAAUUGCCAUUUCAUGAUGAACGGAACAGUUAAAAAUGUCCUGCAACGUUGAUCUUUUUACCGAUUUCAUGAAACACGGUGAAUAACGAACCUUUUUCACAGUUGCACGUAAAAUAAAAAUGGCAAAACACAUUGCAUGAAAAUAACCCUUUAUUACCCUCUAUGGUCUUUCAAAACUUUUAUCUGAAAUAACUUGUAUGGCAAGGAUUCUAUCAUACUAUUAUGAUGUCAUACAAUGCAAUUCACUUAGUUUUGUAUCUAGUGCCCUGUAAUGUUAUCAUGCUAAUAAAAUGAUUACAUUAAGAAGUUCUGAUAGAUCCCACAUUAUGUUUUAUCUCCGUUAAUUAAUUUUACAUUAGUUCAGAAAUGGAUGUUCCUUUUAGAGCAACUACGUCUGAGAACAUGAAUUGUAUUCCUUGUAUCUUUUACACAUCAAAAGAAGACGAAAGUUACUUGGGCGGGUUAGAAAAAAGCAGGCUUUCAACAUUCUACUAUUUUAUUGAUGGUUAAAACUAAUUACAAAGAGAGAAUGGAAAUCAAUGUAAGAUAACAAUAUAAAUCCAUCAUUAUUUCCUUAUUUUAUAAUCAGAUAUGAUGAGUCUGUAAUAGCAUCUUUAUCCAGCUUUAAUACAAUUCAUGACUUUCAUUUUAAAACCUAAACAAUUAGCUUCAUCAAUGUUCAUGACAGGGAUGUAUGUAACUGUCCUUCUUAUAUAACACGUUCAUGAUUUCUCAGUUAAUAUUCAUUGCCAUGAUCAUAAGUGUUCAUACAGACACAAAUUUAUUAAAUGUAAUAAAAAUGUAAUUAAUUGUAAUAAUUUAAGGUUGAUUUUAUUAUUGGGAAGCAGGCUGAUGAUUUAUAUGUAUAAUUAUUAUCCUAUGUACAUGAUUUAAUUAUGAAAUUUAAUAAGAUAAGGCUACAAGCCUACAAGGGGAGAUUAAUAUUACCUAGCUAUUUUCUUCAUUCCAUAAUGUCUUUAUAAAUGAUAGAAAAUUAAUGUAUAUGGUAUAUAUGAAAAAUGAUAUUCAAGUAUCAAUUAGAAAAUGCAAUUAGAAGAAUAUACUUUAAAUAAGACUGUAAUUAAGCUUAUUCCCUUAGGAGAUUAGGAUGAUAAAAAUGUACCUUGAUCCUCGGAAUUUGCUACUAAUAUUAAAUACAUGUAAUGAUCUUCUUUGUUUGGCAUUUCACUUGAGGACAAAUUUAGUUAUUUAACAGUUAAUCAUACAAUAAUUAAAUCUUUGUAAGAUAUGUCCUUUGGGAAGAUGUUAUGAUGAAAACAAUUUUCCACGUCCACUUGUAUUUUUGUCCAUCUGAUGAGUUAAGCCUUUUUCAACUGAUUUUUAUAGUUCGUUCUUAUGUUGUACUGUUAUACCACUGUCCCAGGUUCGGGGAGGGUUGGGAUCCCGCUAACAUUGUUUAACCCCGCCACAUUAUUUAUGUAUGUGCCUGUCCCAAGUCAGGAGCCUGUAAUUCAGUGGUUGUCGUUUGUUUAUGUGUUACAUAUUUGUUUUUCGUUUAUUUUUUUUUACAUAAAUAAGGCCGUUAGUUUUCUCGUUUGAAUUGUUUUACAUUAUCUUAUCGGGGCCUUUUAUAGCUCACUAUGCGGUAUGGGCUUUGCUCAUUGUUGAAGGCCGUACGGUGACCUAUAGUUGUUAAUGUCUGUGUCAUUUUGGUCUUUUGUGGAUAGUUGUCUCAUUGGCAAUCAUACCACAUCUUCUUUUUUAUAUAUUCUAUAAAUGUUUCGAUUGUUCUCAAGAAUAAUUUUUAAGUCACCCUUAAGAUAUUAAUGUCAUUAAUAUAAGUAGCUAAAUAUAUAUAUAUAUAUUUGCCAAUUAAGGAUAUUACUAACUGAUGAAUUAUAUGGUAGGUAUAUAUACUGGACUAGAUGAUUGGUUACAGCUUUUACAUUAAUGCUAGCAAGACAAAUCUUUGUUUGGCUUGCUUGCUUUGUUUGCAUCAAUGUUUGCUCAAGCAUAGCAAUUAAGAUAGGUGGGGCUUCAGCUUGUAUACAUCAUACUUAAAUUUUAUUGGACGUUAUGUUUGAGGUUAAGGACACCAAAUUUUAAAACAUCACAGGAUGACAAUAUAAAGCGCAAUCGUAGAAAUGGAAGCAAAAAAAAAAAAUAAAAAAAUUUCGAAGAUGUGCAUUUUCAGCAUCCAACUUAAAAGACUGUCGUCAAGUACUUUUAGAAAAACAAAAUAGCUAUUCGAACACACCUACUCUGAUUUUGUGAUUCAUUACAAAGGUAUUUCUUUUGACCCAUAUAUUUCAUAUUUUAGUACUGUGACUUUUUAUGUUAUAAAGUCAACCUGUAGCUUUGCUAUAUAAAAAUGAUAGAAUUUGAAGCGAGGUGAUGUAUCAAAUUCUCUUGCUUUGUGCGUUUUCAAGACAAAAUAUUCAUCUCAAACACACCCUAACAUAAGAAGGUACACUCGAUUUUCUCUUUUCGAUACAAUUGUUACCCAUUUUUGGAUUUUUUUUCUUGAGUUACAUAAUGGAAGGACAGACACGGAAAUAACUGAACUUAUAGGUUGAUAUGUUCUCCGUCCGUGGUAAUUUUAAAAAAAAUCGAAGGUUAUGCAUUUUCUUCGUCCAACUUGAUAGAUACCCAUGUCGUCGACUUGAUAUCCAAUUGUUCUGCUUAACUAUGUAAUAGAUAAAUUGAAAACUUAUGCAAAUGUUGGUUUUGUUAACAAUAAAACACUUUGUAUUUGAAAAGAAAAGUGUUUUUUUAUUUGUUUUUAUUAACCUUUCAAAAAUUUGGUAACUAUACAAAAAUCAUUUAUCGCCUUUUCAAUAAACAAACAAUAAUCAGUUUGAAGGUUUACAAGCAGAAAUUAAUCCAAAGGGUUAAAUGGACAUAAUAAGUAAUAGGGAUAAAUUAAGAAGGGGGGGGGGCAAAUGACAGAAUAUUACAAGUUCAUUAUUUCAACAUUUUUGCAAUUAUGAAUAAAUAAUUGUUAACAAAAUGUUUUACUAGAAAUUGGAAUAUAGAAAGUGUGGACAUCAAAAGUUUACUUAAUAAUUAUACAGACAAUGCGCCCUUUUACAAAACAUUAAUUGUUUCACAAAUAAAGUAAAAUAAUUUCUUAAAACAUAGCAAAACAAAUCGGUCUGAUUGGUAGAAUUUCACAUGAGCCGUGGUAUAUAGCAAACAUCUUAUUCCCCCACUUAUUUUUAUCACACACAUCAUUAUUUUUUUUUAUACUCAACUAGUUGUGUUUAUUUCCUUAAUAUAGUAACCUAACUAUAUUUUGCAUAAUGUCAAUUUCUCAUCAUGGAACACUUUCUCCACAAUAAGGGGUUCAUUACGGGAUAAAAAUGAGUUUGACAAUUGUGUUGUUACUCAUUUAAAAAGCUAUCAGUGUAUAGUAACUAUUUGUUUAAGUUGCAGUAUAAAAACAAUAUUAGGUCAAUGUCAUAACAAUAUAAACUUUUUUGUACUCGGUGCAAAACUGUGGGAAGCCAGUGGCGUAGCUAUGUCAUUUCUACGUGUACGCCCAAACCUCGGUGAGGCUAAAGAAACUGCUGGUAGUGGAUAAGCGGGGGCAUGACUAAUUUCAGCUGAUCUACUGAUUGUUACCCCUCCGAUAUCCAAUUUAUCAUAAAUAAAUCGAAAUAUUUAUAUUUUCCGUGUUUCGUUACGAUCCGAUAUAAAUCAAAAUUGACUAGAAACACACCCGUGAUAUUGCGGGUCCGUGACUGAAUUAAAGUAUACAACUAUGCGCAAGCCUUAUCUUAGUAUUAGUACUGUCAUCUGAUAAGUCAUGCCGAUUAUAAGAUACACAAUUUUCUCUGCUUUCAAAUCUUUCUGUUUGAACCCGUCGAACUGGAACUUAUCAAUUAUUGGUAAUAUUAAAUAUUUGGAAAACAAAAGUCCUGGAAUGGAGUAUUUUUAAUUAACAGCAUUGUCCUAUAUUAGUUAUAAAUAAAGUUGAAUUCUUUGAUUCGCUGUUUUACGUCAUGCCCGCUAACAAAUUGAAACUUAUUUUUAGUCCAGAUUUUUAGUAUUCAAAUUGUUAUCUUAGAAAGUCUUACGGAUUAAAAUACUACUAUAGGUAACAAUUUGACAAUUUAGUAGUGUCAACCCUGUGAUUAUGACCUGUUUAUAUAGCAUAUUAAUCCUGAAUACACCGUUUGGUGGUGCGCCUGUCAGAUGCGGAACGUACAGAUAAGGUAAUAGGUAACAGGUGAUUAUACUAUUGGUAUCGGUAUCGGACUCGACCCGGAACUUCCUAAUUAUUGGCGAUAUUAAUUACGUGGAAAACAAAAGGGCCUGGAGUGGUGUAAUUUUUAAUCUACACCUUUGUACUAUAUUAGUUGUAUAUAAAGUUGAAUUCUUUGAUUCGUCGUAUUUACGUGAUGACGGCUGACAAAUUGGACCUCGUAAUUUAAGUAUUAUAGAUACAUGGUUUCAUUUGUGUAGUGCAGUGGCAAAUUCAAAAGGGACCCAUAAUUUAAAGAAUAAGCAUAUUUCUUACUAAAUAGAUUAGAGAGACCAAAAGAAUGACAGAACAUAGAAAUAUAGAAAUGAUGCAACCCCCCCCUCCCCUAAAACUCCCUGUUGGCCCUAAUCCAGACCCUCAUAUAUAUCACUGUGACAUAUAGUUUUGUUUAAUAUAUUUAAUUGUUUUUGUAUUCAAGAAGAAUAUUUUAUUUCUGUACAAAGAGUUGUUAAUAUAUGUAAUGGACAAUAUAUACCAUGCCCUGUCAGCCAGAGUGGUAAUAUAAUUUCAAUGAAAGAAAGUAUUUGAAAGAUUGACUCCCUGUGCAUUCGAUUAUUAAACGGUGGCCAGAUCGUCUGAUUUAAAUUGCCCUACAGAAAGUCCGACUGUUGGUAUAAAACUUAAAAAUGAACGAAAAACUUUUUGCUUCAGAAAUUAACCAUGAAAAAAAACUUUAAUUCGACGAAGGUUUCACGAAGUAAUUGAUAUGUAAUAAAUUUUAACCUUCGACUGUAAAUGCAAAAAGAAAUUCCUUUAAUACAUAAAAUACGGGAAAACUCAUCAUAUAUAAUUUCGUCAUUAUGCUCUGGAUACUCAUUUGACCAUUAACAGUUUUUGUCCAGCUACAGUAAAAUUUUACGAAGGUUUGACAAAGUUAUUGAUAUCUUAAAACUUUAAAACUACAUAAUGAACCUACAUGUACAUAGUUAUAAUUUUGGCACCGUCGACGAAAUUUAGGAUCAAAAUGUCUCCCUUUCGCGACAUAAACGUCAAUGGCUCGACCAAAAUGGCAAACCACAUAUCGAAUCUUAGCUCAUAAUGAAUUGCUUUAAAAAAAAAAAAGGGGAAAGUGAGUAUAGAAUUCACGGUAGGUUUAGAAUUUGACAGAAAUAAUAUGAUACUAAUUUUUGUCACUUUAUUCGCAAUUAUAAGCCAUUGAAGAAAGACUUAGAAGGUUGAUGUAUUGUUAACCAAUUCUUUUAUCUAUAAUAGAUGAUUUUUUUUUUUACCAAAUUCAAGUGUACGCCCGGGUGUUUUAAACGUAGCUACGCGCAUGGAAGCCAGUUUCUCAGCCUCAUACAAGAAAAAAGUUUAUAUUUUUCUUUCAUUGACCAAAUAUUGUAUUUUUGCAGGUAAGGAAACAUGUGAGAAUAUUUGUCAUCCUGUGAUGUUUAGUGUCCUUAACUUCAAACAUAACGUCCAAUAAAAUUUAAGUAUGAUGUAUACAAGCUGAAGCCCCGCCUUUCUUAAUUGCCUUUCUUAAUUGCCAUGCUUGAGCAAACAUUGAUACAAACAAAGCAAGCAAGCCAAACAAAGAUUUGUCUUGCUAGCAUUAAUGUAAAAGCUGUAAUGACACAUGAGUUUAUUUGUUAGGAUAAUAGACUCUGUUUGAUUGGUUGAUAAGACAUGAAUUUACAUGAUAGGAAUACUAGACUCUGUGAUUGGUCGAAAAGUCAUGAGUUUAUAUGGUAGAAAUAAUGGACUCUGAUUGGUUGAUAAGACAUGACUUUAUAUGGUAGGAAUAAUGAUUCAAGAUUUCAGCUUUAUUUUUUUAUUUUUUUUUUAUGAAAUAUUGUGCUUGUCCAUGAAAUUUUGUCACCUCCUUCUGGACAAUAUUUCACUAUGAAAUUCUGUUCAUGACAAUACUUCACUAUGAAAUACUGGCUUUGAAAAUAUUUUUUAAUCAAAUUAUUUCACAAUUAGAAAUAGUACACAAACAUGCAACAUGCACAUUUUUAGAUUUAUAACUGAAAUUGUUUUGUUUAGUAGAGAAUUUAUAUUAUUACUAAUAGUGAGUUUCAAAUUUGCAUAGAAACAUUACAAAUGGUUUAUUAUAGAUUAAAGAAUUGUCUAAAAUAGGUUUCAUUUUUUUUACAUUAUACUGUACAAAUAUAAGUAAUGUACUGACAAUUGCUUAUUUUGUAAAUAAAUACACAGGCACAUGUCGCAGAAAAAAAUCCUAUAUACAUGAAUAAUUGUUGAUAACCUCCCCUUCAUGAGACAAAAUUCCAUGACAAUCUGUGUAUGAAAUAUUGUCUCAAUACUCACGAAAUAUAACCAAAAUAUAACCUCCCUUUAACAGGACAUAAUUUUGUAGUAUUUAUCUAUGAAAUAUUGUCUUAAUUCACACAAAAUAUAACCUCCCUCUAACAAGACCAAAUUCCAUUCUGUGAAAUAUUGUCUAUAUACAGACACAAUUUCACUAUGCAAAUUUGUUCUUCUCUGGACAUUUUUCCAUAGACGAGGACAAUAUUUCAUGAUACAUAGUUAUGAAAUAUUGUCUUGUGGUACAAUAUAUAUUUCAUAGGACAAUAUUUUGCUUUACAAUAACACAUUAGUUAAUAAUAUGUUAGGAAUAAUAGACUCUGAUUGGUUGAUAAUACAUGAGUUUCUAUGACAGGAAUACUAGACUCUGAUUGGUUGAUAAUACAUGAGUUUAUAAUAUGAUAGAAAUAAUGGACUCUGAUUGGUUAUAACACAUGAGUUUAUAUGAUAGAAAUAAUAGACUCUGAUUGGUUAAUAACACAUGAGUUUAUAUGAUAGGAAUAAUAAUAAUAAUAAUAAUAAUAAUCUUUAUUUCAAGAGGGUAUGCUCAAUUAGUACAAACACUAUUCUCCCUUGAGGCCCUCACACUCCACUCACAAUGCAAUUCACACAAUUUCUUCAAAAUUGGAAUACUAGACUCUAAUUGGUUAAUAACACAUGAGUUUAUAUGAUAGGAAUACUAGACUCUAAUUGGUUAAUAACACAUGAGUUUAUAUGAUAGGAAUACUUCUAUUUUGUUGGUCAAUAAGAAAUGAGUUUAUAUGGUAGGAAUACAAAACUUUCUGAUUGGUUAACCAUGUAAUGAAUGCUAGUAUUCACAUUUAAAAUACACUUGUAUAUUUUUUAUUUGUAAAUUGUGUAUACUACAGUGGCAAAGUACAGAAUACAGAAUAAAUCUCAAUGAUAAAGUCCUAUUAAUGGAUUUCCUUCUAUGAUGGUAGAAAGUACAGGAAUACUUUUAAAGUAGAUUGUAUUGCUAUUUAGAAUGAGAUUGCUUUUUCUAUAAGUUACAGUAAUAAUGAGUAUAUUCUAGACUUAUCUGCAAGCUGAUUGAUAACCUUUUGAUAUUUGUUAGUUAUUUCUAUAAUAAUAGUGACUGGUAUUUAUCAUGGCUGCCAUUUCUGUCUGGUCAGAAUCAUUUUAUUCAUUUUUUAUGCAUGAUCAUGGAGUUCAGAACUAAUAUAUUGUAAUACCCAGAUCAAUGAUGACCUUUGUCUGUCCUUGACUGUCUUACAAUAUCAGAAGUAUUUGUUCUGAGACAGUUACUAGAUGGUCAUCUUACUCCUUCCAUUGAAUGAUUAACUUAAUCAUUGAACUUUCUUCAGUAAUAACAUAAAAAAAAAAACACCUUUACAUUCAUCUAAAGGGAGUUGGCUUCUCGUUUCAAAAUAAUUAACUUUCAAAACACUAGCAUAUAUUGAUAGGGGAGUAAUAAAGGAACCAAAAGAGCAAAAAAAUAUAUAAGUAACCGUGCUUGUUUUCGAGAUAUUAGCCAUUGAAAUUUUGGCUUGAAAAUGUUCUCUCUUGAAUUUUCAUAGCAUUAUAAUUCAGUCUUCAAAAACUAAUAUAAAAUAGUUAAAAUUUUAUAAGACUUUAACAGACAGCUUAUUAUCAUACAUGUAAAAGAAUUAUAAAAAGAAAAAUGGGGGUCACCGGGAUUAAUUUGUUAUGGCAUGCAAAUGGAUAAAACCAGAGAAUAGACAUAUUUACACUUGUAUGCAAAUUUGUCCGCCAUUACAUAAAAUCACACAGGUUCCUGUAAACUUUGACAUCAUAAUUCAAAACAUUUGACGUCACAAAUAAAAAGGGAUUGUUGCUUGACGUCAAAAGGUUAUUCGGAGGUGAUAUAAGGUCAUUCGGAGGCAAAAUACAGCUAAAGACCAAAAUUGUAAAUAUGUUUAUUCCGAAAAUCUGACAAAAAUUCCCAAAAAUGACACACAAGCUUCCUUAAAAUAAUAAAAGACAUCUCAUUGGAUUAAGCAACAAUGAUUUUUGGGUAGGAGUCUUUUUUUAAAAGACACAAAAUAAUGUUACGGGAAGUUCAGAGUGAAUCUUGAAACUUAUUUGCUAGUUAAAAAUCAUGAUUUUUAAGUCUCCCAAACAAAGUUUGGAGACUUAUUGUUUUUGGUCAGUUCUUAUUAUUUUUAUUAUUCUUCUUCUUCCUCUUCCUCUUCCUCUUCCGCCACUUUAAAAAUGAAACUUGUCCGCAGCGUUUCUCCAAAAACGCUUGUCAGAUUUGAUAGGAUUUCGUAAAAUGGUAGACUAAUAUGUCUAGGUGAGCCAUCAAUCUUUCGUUUGUGCAUUGGGGUCUAUUAAGGGCUAUUUUGGGGGGUAGAAAGAAGGGAGGGUUUUACUAUAGAACCCUAUGGGAUUUUAUUUUCUAAAAAUUUCAAAUGAACAUAACUUGAAAACUGUAAGUGGUAGAUACAUGCAGUCUUCAGAAAUGAUUAUAGGACAAUAAAACAAAUCACAUGAAAUAUAGGGGGAGUCCCUGGGAGUUCAUCCCCACCCCCUUCAAUUUGAGAAUAUGCUUAUAUCUUGUAACCGAUCCAGAUCCCCACCCCUAAACCAUAUAUAUUCCUGAUUGGGACAAUAAAACAAAUCAAAUGCAAUUAAAGGACGGUCCCAUGGGGUCAUCCCCACCCCGUUCAAUUUCAUAAUGUGCUAUUAUCUUGUAAAUGGUCCAGAUCCCCACCCCUAAACCAUAUAUAUUCUUGUAGGGGACAAUAAAACAAAUGAAAUGAAGUUAAAGGGAAGUCCCUGGGGGUUCACCCCACCCCUCUUGUUUGAAAACUGUAAACUGUCAACAUCCCCACCCCUAAACCAUAUAUAUUCUUGUAGGGGACAAUAAAACAAAUGAAAUGAAAUAAGAGGGAAGUCCCUAGGGGUCACCCCACCCCCUCUUGUUUGAAAACUUGUAAACGGUCAACAUCCCCACCCCUAAACCAUACAUAUUCUUGUAUGGGACAAUAAAACAAAUCACAUGAAAUUAAAUGGAAGUUCCUGGGGGUCACCCCCACCCCGUUCAAUUUGAGAAUGUACUAUUAUCUUUUAAGCGGUCCAGAUCCCCACCCCCUAAACCAUAUAUAUUCUUGUAGGGGACAAUAAAACAAAUGAAAUGAAAUAAAAGGGAAGUCUGGAGGGGGUCACCCCACCCCCUCUUGUUUGAAAACUUGUGAACGGUCAACAUCCCCACCCCUAAACCAUAUAUAUUCUUGUAGGGGACAAUAAAACAAAUGAAAUUAAAUUAAAGGGGUUUAAUUGUUAUCUUUUAAAUUCCAGGGUUUCCUGGGGGUCCCACCCUGUUUUAAUUUUGAGAAUGUUAUCUUUUAAAAAUCAGAUCCCUCACCUAAAACCAUAUAUAUUCUUGUAGGGGACAAUAAAACAAAUCAAAUGAAAUGUAGGUAACUUCCCUAGGGGAUCACCACCACCCCCUCCUGUUUGAAUACUUGUAAAUGGUGGAGAUCCCUACUCGUAAGCCAUAUAUAUUCUUGGGACAAAAAAUCAAAUCAAAUGAACAUAUGAAUGGCGAGUUAUGGGAGCUUUGUUUGGGAGACUUCGUAACAGCAUCCUGUUACAAUUACUUCUUGUUUACUUUCUACUUUCAGGUAGUUUUUAUUCAACUUAUCCUCGCCAUCGAACACUCAUCAGUAUUAACAAAAGACACACAGGAAAAACAAAUAAAGAGUUCAAUCUCCGCCAUGACUGGAACUCUCUUUUGAGUGAUGAUGAAUCUUUGCUCUUCCGACAUUACUCAAAAGACAUGUUCCCACAUGCAGAUGUCCUUUUGAAAUAUUUAGAGGAUUACACGAAAAAACUAAAUAUCAAUGUACAGUAUAAUACAAAUGUCCGAAAUAUUAUAAAAUAUAAAAGUGAUAGAACAUUUGCAAAACAUGAAUAUAUGUAUGAAUUUGAUGACCAGAAUAACAACAGAUAUAAAUGUUCGUAAGUAUAUAUUACAUCUGUAUAUAUAAGCCAUGCUUUUUGGUCAAGUUGUAUAAACAAAGUCUGUCUAGGUUUUGAAAUUUAUGAAUGCUAUUUGGUCACAGACCACAAUUAAAUUCCUCUGUUAGUUCUUGAUAACGAUUUAAUGAUCAUUAAAAAAAAGGCACCAAUUACUUUUUGUCAAAUAUUGUGUGUGUGCAAAGUACAGUACUAGUCAAAAAAAUAUACAUAUCAAACAUGCAGAAAGAUUAAAUUCAUUCCACUUACAAUUUUAGCCAAUAUACAUCCAUACCCCUAUGGACAAGUCAAGAGAUGUUCUGAAACUUUAAAUAUGACCUUUUUGCACCUGGCCUGAUCACUCUUUCCUUAUCAAAAGCAGUUAAAAUACAACAUCCAAAAAAAUUUAUUUCACCUCUCUUCUUUCAUAUCACCCCCUCCCCCCCCCAAAAAAAACCCCAAAGAAAUGACUAGAAAAAAAAAAUAAAGAAAAAAUGUACUUUAAUUAAAAGGAACUAUAUUUGUAGACAACGGGGUCAUUAGUGUGGUCUUUGGUCAUCUGGAUAUCUGUGCAUUAUUUUCAAUAACAAAUUAUGUUUUAGCCUUUCUGGGUCAAAGGUCAAGGACACAGCAGCUUAAGAUAGUCUGAAGUUUCAUCAAACUUUUUUUUUCAAGACCUUAUCUUUUGAACAAUAUCUGUUGAACUUUUACCAAACUUUGAUGAGGAACACCCCUUUUGAUUUAGGGGUCAACAAACUAAAUGUCAAAGAAACAACUGCUACUAAUAAACUGAACUUUACUUUAUAGAUGUUAUUCUUCUAAUAAUUUGUCCAACUUCUAAUGAAUUUAGUGUGGUAAUGCCCCAUUGGAUGAACACAAUGACCUCUAUGAAUUUUGAGGCCUGUAGGUCAAAGGUAAAGGUCACAGCAGCAAUUGGUAAUCUUAUAUUUUGGCAAAAUUUUGGUUUGAGGCUGAUAUCUUUUGAAUUAGAUAUAAAACAUUCAGCAAACUUUAAAAGGCCCCUUGGAAAGAGCAAGCCACCUGUAGAAUUUUGGUCAGUAAGUAAAAACUUAAAGUCAUUGUCACAAGACCAAGUUUCUGUCAAAGGAACAUUUGUAGCAAUAUGAACUCACUAUCAGACCUGAAACAAGACAUUUUUUAAGGGGUACAGUUUAUAGUAUUGUUAUGCUUCAACAGGGAUUAAUAAUAUAGUUUUAUUUAUAGGUUUUAGAAAGUUGCAUCACUAUUGUAUGUCAGUUGCUUAGGGUUUAUUGUAAAAUUUAAAUUAUAGCUUAACAGUUACUGUAGCUGCAAAUUGUGAUUCUUCCUUAUUGGUAUUACAGAGUGCUUAUAAUAGCUACUGGAUUAUGGGUACCUAACAUUCCAGAUUUAACAGGUAUUGACUAUGCAGUAGGAUACGAAACAAUGUCCAUAAACCCUGAUGACUAUGAGGGGAAAAAUGUCCUUAUUCUUGGUAAGAUAAUUAUCAUAAGAUACAUGUAGUACUUUACUAACACCAUACAUAUUUGGAUAAUCUUGACUCUUUUCUUUGUCAAACCUUAUAAACAUUUUUCAGAAUUACAUCUUAUAACAUGUUGACAAUUAAGUGUUUCAAAGAAGAAUCAUGGGUAAGUCAUUGUCAUACAACAAAAUAGAAAUAGUUUAGAGUAUACUAUUGGAUUAAUAUCCAUUGUUCUGGCUGUUGUUGUCAACCAAUCACAAUGGUUUCAUCUUUGCUUUUGAAAUUAUUACCCAGAGACAUUAAAUUUUGAAUUGGUUACUUGAGGAGGGAACUCACAAAAAAAAGUAAAUAAACACUUAUUUAGUCAAUAGAGAAUUUGAACUGCUUUUUUUACUGGGUUAUAGUUUUUGUCACAAUUAAGAAGGUGUAAACAGCUCCUUUUAUAACUUGUUAUUAGUUGUAAGCCAGUGAAUCAUAAAUAUUAAGAACGUCUGAUUCAUUACAAAAUGGUAACCAUCCUUGAAAUAGUUGUCCCUGAAGGCUUUAUGAUGUGACAUACUGGAACGUUCAUUAAAUGUAAAUUUUUAUGAUUGUGAUGUAAUCUCAGCUCUAGGUUCUGUUUAUUAAUUUACACAACAUUUUUUCCUUCAAUUUUUUUGCUUUUAUUUUGAAGAAUGUUGUCACAUAUCGACAAAAUCUUAAUAUAUAGUUUUAUACCCUUUUUUUGCAAUAAUAAAGAUACAUAAUUUAAAAUUUACCAGAAGACUUCCUAAUAGGUACACUGAACGAGUUUAAUUCGUAUGAGAUAGGAUUUGCAAAAUCAAUUCUAGAAAGAAAAUGUGGUGAAUUCCUAUCCCUUAUAUGUUUAGUGUUAUAUGUUUUAAUAGUAUAAUUCACUUUUUUUUUCAUUAAUAUAUUCUAAUGUCAUUUCUCUGUCUCAUUAUAUGAAGAUCAAGUCUAUGUAACAAACUUACAGAGGAAAUUACAAUUCUUAAUAAUGUCUUUUAUCAGUAAAAAGUGAAAAGUGUGAAGCUAAUUGGAUUCAUUGGAAAUAUCAAUUACCUUAUCAAUGUCCAAUGAUUCAGUUAUUACCAGACCUUUACCUCAUUUAUAAAUAUCCAUUACCUUAUCAAUGUCCAAUGAUUCAGUUAUUACCCGACCUUUACCUCAUUUAUAAAUAUCAUUACCUUAUCAAUGUCCAAUGAUUCAGUUAUUACCGAACCUUUACCAUUUAUAAUAUCCAUUACUUAUCAAUGUCCAAUGAUUCAGUUAUUACCAGACUUUACUCAUUUAUAAAUAUCCAUUACCUUAUCAAUGUCCAAUGAUUCAGUUAUUACCCGACAUUUACCUCAUUUAUAAAUAUCCAUUACCUUAUCAAUGUCCAAUGAUUCAGUUAUUACCAGAUCGUUACCUCAUUUAUAAAUAUCCAUUACCUUAUCAAUGUCCAAUGAUUCAGUUAUUACCAGACCGUUACCUAUUUAUAAAUAUCCAUUACCUUAUCAAUGUCAAUGAUUCAGUUAUUACCCAGACCUUUACCUCAUUUAUAAAUAUCCAUUACCUUAUCAAUGUCCAAUGAUUCAUUUAUUACCAGACUGUUACCUAUUUAUAAAUAUCCAUUACCUUAUCAUGUCCAAUGAUCAGUUAUUACCAGACCUUUACCUCAUUUAUAAAUAUCCAUUACCUUAUAUUGUCCAAUGAUUCAGUUAUUAACAGACCUUUACCUAAUUUAUAAAUAUCAAUUACCUUAACAAUGUCCAUGAUUCAGUUAUUACCAGAUUACUCUUUAUAAAUAUCAUUACUUAUCAUUGUCCAAUGAUUCAGUUAUACAAACAGAUUUACCAAUUUAUAAUAUCCAUUACCUUAACAAUGUCCAAUGAGUCAGUUAUUACCAGACCUUUACCUAAUUUAUAAAUAUCCAUUACCUUAACAAUGUCCAAUGAUUCAGUUAUUACCAGACCUUUACCUCAUUUAUAAAUAUCCAUUACCUUAUCAUUGUCCAAUGAUUCAGUUAUAACCAGACCUUUACCUAAUUUAUAAAUAUCCAUUACCUUAACAAUGUCCAAUGAUUCAGUUAUUACCAGACCUUUACCUCAUUUAUAAAUAUCCAUUACCUUAUCAAUGUCCAAUGAUUCAGUUAUUACCAGACUGUUACCUAUUUAUAAAUAUCCAUUACCUUAUCAAUGUCCAAUGAUUCAGUUAUUACCAGACCUUUACCUCAUUUGUAAAUAUCCAUUACCUUAUCAUUGUCCAAUGAUUCAGUUAUAUUACCAGACCUUUACCUAAUUUAUAAAUAUCCAUUACCUUAACAAUGUCCAAUGAUCAGUUAUUACAGACUUUACCUAAUUUAUAAAUAUCCAUUACCUUAACAAUGUCCAAUGAUUCAGUUAUUACCAGACCUUUACCUCAUUUAUAAAUAUCCAUUACCUUAUCAUUGUCCAAUGAUUCAGUUAUAACCAGACCUUUACCUAAUUUAUAAAUAUCCAUUACCUUAACAAUGUCCAAUGAGUCAGUUAUUCAACCUUUACUCAUUUAAAUAUCCAUUAUACAAUGUCCAAUGAGUCAGUGAUUACCAGACCUUUACCUCAUUUAUAAAUAUCCAUUACCUUAUCAAUGUCCAAUGAUUUAGUUAUUACCAGACCGUUACCUCAUUUAUAAAUAUCCAUUACCUUAUCAAUGUCCAAUGAUUCAGUGAUUACCAGACCGUUACCUCAUUUAUAAAUUUCCAUUACCUUAUCAAUGUCCAAUGAUUCAAUUAUUACCAGACCUUUACCUCAUUUAUAAAUAUCCAUUACCUUAACAAUGUCCAAUGAUUCAGUUAUUACCAGACCUUUACCUCAUUUAUAAAUAUCCAUUACCUUAACAAUGUCCAAUGAUUCAGUUAUUACCAGACCUUUACCUCAUUUAUAAAUAUCUAUUACCAUAACAAUGUCCAAUGAUUCAGUUAUUACCAUGCAUUACCAAAAUAUCCAUUACAUUAUAAAUGUCAUAUGAUUCAGACAUUACCUUAUUAUUACCAAGUCUUUACCCGAUCUGACCUCUCAAUAUAACCAUGCCUUCUCCUUAUUAACCUUCCUUUUUUUCUCCAGGAAAUCAAAGUCUUUUAGAUAUGUUUUCAACAACUCAACUGUCCAAUCAAGAAAAAAAAUUCCAUGAUCAAAUUUCAAAGUGGUCAUAUUGACCAAGCGGGUGGAGUAGUUUAACUACUGUAUCACUAGCUUGUCAACACUGAGGUUGUGAGUUUCAAUACCUCACCUAACAGGUAGGCUAUACUCCAAUCUUGAUUGAUUAGGACUGUCAGUUUUCAUGGUUCACUCCAGCCAAUCUGGCUUCUUCCACCAAUAAAUUCUGACCACCACGGAAUAGCGCAAUAGUGCUGAAAGUGACGUUAAACACCAAUUACUCAAUCAAUCUUUUAAAGUAGGAUGUUGUUUAUGGAAUAGAGGCUAGAGUUCUGACAUCAAUUCAAAAUCCUAAAUGAAAAAAGCAUUAUCUAUUGACAGGGAUGAUAUCACAGCCUUGGGUAGCUCAAAUAAUUGUUUAAUUUUCAGUAUUUCUGCACCAUUUUAAACAAUUUUUUUUUAUGUCAAUUCUCAUUUAUGUUUAAUAUCAAAGAUUUUUAUCUGUUAUUGCAACCUUUAUAUUAACAUUAUUACCAUAUGUUAUUUACCUAGGCUUUUCAUAAUAUGUUGCCUUGGGAACUAAUUACAAUUGUUGUUUAAGUGCAAAUUUAUAAUAGAAAUGUCCAUAACUCAGUCCUUAUCGUUUUUGUUUUAAGGUAAAUUACAGAAUAAGAGGCAUUGGGUCACAUGACAUAUUACUUUUAUGAACCCAAUAAAAGAUCAUUAACCUAUUAUUGGAAAAAAUCAUGUUUAUUUUGUUGUUCUCCUCAAUUUGCUAAUGUAAUAUUACACAGAAAGGAAGACUUAUGGCAAAUCAUUUAAUUCAGUUGACAUUUAUUACAGAUAUAAAAUCAGCGGAAAAACUAGCAUGAAUAUAUACGCUUGACCGAACAUAAUUAUUACAAUUUUUAGUUCCUUCUUCCAGAGAUUACAGAUUCUAUCUAAAAUAUUGAGAAAUUUUCCUUCUUUUGUUUAAGCGCAGACAUUAGGGUACUUUACAAUUACUCAACCAUGCUUAUUGUACAUUAAAAAGACUAAGUAUGGGUUAAAAUUUAAAGACUUAAGACCCAUUAACAUUUAGUUAAUUGGUAUAGUAGUGCUUUUAGAAGAAUUAUUGAUUGUCAGAUACUUAAGAUGAUUAUGUUAUUACCAUACUAGAACCAAAUGGAUCUUAAAAUACCACAUUUGUUUUCUUCUAAGAGGAAGGAGAGAUGGUUAUAUAAUAUCAAUACAUGUACACAGAAAGCCAAGCCAACCCAACAUUUGUUUAAAUUGUUACAUUUUUCACUUUUUGUUCUUUUCUAAAAGCAUCCCAUUUUCGGAUAAUUUCCAUUUUUCAGUAUGCGGAAUCUUCACUUUUUGUUCUUUGUUCUUUUCUAAAAGCAUCCCAUUCUUUGGAUAAUUUCCAUUUUCAAGUAUACCAAUUCCCCAAUCUAAAAUAGAUAUUUCUACAAUAAUAAUUACAUGGUCAUGUGAUUAUGUAUACUCUUAAGGAAAAGUAUUGUCUUCUAUAUUAUCAACAAUUGUCUCAUUAUAUCUUGAUGAAUUACCAAGUUAGUGUACAGAAAGGGCUUCAUUUAAUGAAAUCUGAAUCAUAAAAUAAUAUUUCAGAACACUCAUUUCCGUUAUCAUCAGUUACAGUCUGACAUUAACAUCCAUAAUAUUUGAUUCUGUCAUAAUCUUUGAAAGAUUAACAGAUCGGAAAGUUAUGAUUGGAAAUUGUGAUUCCUCCUUGUCAAUAGAUUGUAACGACCAUUUCAUUAUAAUGAUCGUGUUAAAGGGUUAUCGGAUACUUCAUUGCAGGGAAAGUGACAUGAUACUGGUGACUAAAGACAGAAAACAAAUAAUUUUACACACCCAUGUUUGCAUUUUCUAAUUAGAACAGCGCAGGCCAAUUUUCAAAGCAUACAAAAUUUAAUAAAGAUUCCUCUAUAUAUGCCAAUGUUGUUACUCCCGUAGGAAACAAGAAUAAUUUGUAGCAUGUUCAAAUGCUGAAGAAAUAUUGAUGUUCAUCAAAUUAUAGGAAAAACCAAAUUGACAUUUUGAGAAAGAGCAGAGCUCAUAAAAGCUGAUGGAAGCUGAUAAACAAAAAUGAAUUUGAUAUUCCAUGAGAAAUAAUAAUGAAAAAACUCAAAAAGUACCUGUUUCGCUCAGGUACCAAAAUUGCAAUAUUUAACAUAUGUAAACAUUUCCUGGAUAAUAAACUUGGCUGUUUCUUUAAUUUAAAACUAUGAUUUUACUGAUUGUUGCAUUAUUAUUCAUAGAUUGCUCAAGUGUAAACAUUGUAAUUAAACAAUUUAUGAUUUAUUCCUGAUGGGAGUAAAUGAUAAGGCUAGGAGAAUAACUAACAACCAAACAAACACUUUAUUUCUAUAAUCACAAAAAAUAGUAAUUUAAGAGUUAUAAAGUAUAGACUUAUUAGAUAUCAUUUAUAAAAGAAAUUCUGGUCCCAGACCACUAUUAUUUCGUAGUGCAUUUCUUUUAGAACAUAAAUGAAAAUAAAAAAAAUCCCACCUGUGCUUUCUCAAAGAAACUGUUAUAGUGUGUUGUACUACUUUUGGGACAAAUUAUAUCAAAAUUAUAGAAAACUUCAUCGGCUCUAGAUCAAAAUAUGGACAAUAUUAUGUUUAGGGCGUCUUGAAAUCUUUUGACAGCUUCCGAAGUGCAAAUUUUAAACCUUUCUCAGCUGGACCAAAUCACUACUUUACUUUAAAAUUCUGGACCCAAAUUUUUUACCGUGUAAUUUGAUCCCCUACUUGCAAUUUGAGGCAUUAAACAUGGAGAAAUAAAUUUGGAAGGGGUAUAAAAAUUAAUGGCACGUAACCCACUGUCAACUCUAGGGACUAUAUUUGUGAACAACGAAAAUCAAGGGACGACAACUGUGGUCUCUGACCUUCUUGGUUAAGCCCACAUAAAGUUCAUAAGUUUUUCUUAUUUAUAGAGAGUUGAAAAACAAUGCAAAUUGCUUAUGACCCCAUCAUUUACUUACAUCAGGAAUAACUCUAGUUUGCCUCAACCAAAAGUUAAGAAACAUAUACACACAAUGUCUAUUACCACAAAACACUGAUCUAGUUCAAAUGUUGGUGGCAUGACUUUUACAGUUCUGUAGUUAAGUCCCUUUAUAAUGUGAUAUGCAAGAGAGGGCAUCUCUUGUGUCCCAUUGAUAAAUAUUCCAUUUAUUUUUCUUGAGUUAUGUCCCUUUAUGACAUGAAAUGCAAGAGAGGGCAUCACUUGUGUCCCAUUGAUAAAUUCUACAUUUAUUUUUAUUGAGUUAUGUCCCUUUAGAACAUGAUAUGCAAGAGAGGGCAUCACUUGUGUCCAUUGAUUAAUUCUCUAUUUAUUUAUGUAUCAAAGGAGAGAAAAAAUAUUUGUAAAGUCUAGACAUUUGUAUGUUGUCCUAGAAAAAUAGACAAGCUGUGGUUUAUUUAUUGCAGUUAUAAGAUGGAUAGCAAUAGUUUUUGUUUACUUAUUUUCAUAUAAAAUGUCUUUGUGCUUUAGGGUUUCUUUUUUCAUGGAAAUGAGAAAAUCUAUCAUUUAUAAAUAACAAUAAGCAUUGUGUCUUAGUUUUUUUGACACAUAGCAACAUAUAUGUCAUUCUAAGGACACUUAUUUUUACUAAUUUUUUUAAUCUAUUCCACAACUAACUAGUAUUUGUUGACUUGAAUUUGAAGACAGCGUUCACCAUUUAAUGUGAAGUUAAUGUAUUUCAAUGCCAAAGUUAGAAGCUGGACUAAACAUAAACCCUUAGUGCAUUUAAGUAACUGACAACUCCUGUAUAAUAUCAAAUAUUUAUAGUAUGAUUGAGUGCUUAUUUAAAUUUACAAAUGACUAGAAUAAACAUGAAAAUAAGAAAAUUUGUAUGAUUGCCUUUGAGACAACUCUCCACUAGAGAAAAAAUGAUGUAGAUGUUAGCAACUAUAGGCCACUAUUAUGCCUUCAACAAUGAGCAUAAUCCAUACCAUAUAGGAAGUAUAAAAGGCUGCAACAUGACAAAAUGUAAAACAAUUCAAACAAAAAAAAAAUGUUCUGAUUUAUUACAAUAUAAUAAACAAAAAACAAGUAUGACAAACAGCCAAUAAUACCAUUAGAUUGAGACGGGUAUGACAAACAGCCAAUAAUACCAUUGAAUUGAGACGGGCACCCAACAGGCUUAAUGACUAAUUGUAGGUACAGUAGUCUUCAGUAUAAAUCUGCAUCAAUGCAUGAAGGAUUUUGACAGAAUAAAAUUUCUAGAGCUAAUAUUAGUCUUCAAAAAGCAGGCUUCCAAGUUACAUUAUAAUAAUUAUCUGUUUUAGGUCGUGGAAACUCUGCCUUUGAAACUGCUGAUCAAAUAUAUGGUGCUACGGGUUUGAUUCAUAUGGUUGGUAGAUCCAGAGUGAGGCUAUCAUGGUCAACUCAUUAUGUUGGAGAUCUAAGGUAAGUAAUUCACAGUAUAAAAAAUAUGUAGUUUACAUUAAUAUUUUUUAAACUAGAACCAUAGAGAGUUGACAACAGUUCUUUUAAAAACACUGUAAAUCAAUUUUGAACUGAAACAGCCACUUCGAAAUGAACCAAUCUUAAAAGACUGAACAAUGAAUAAGUCACUUUUCUUCAGUCCUUGAGUCAAAGCAAAAACUAUGCUUGAGGUGAAUUAAGAUCCGUUCAGUCAAUUUUUAGAAUGUUUUUGUGCUGUAAUUUCAUGCGCAAAACAAUUUAUGCUGAACAGACUAUGUACAGUACUGUUUUGGCUGCCAGCAAAAUGUCUGAAUAGUACUGGAUUUACAGCCUUAAAAAAAUAAUUUAAAAAUGACAAUCUCUUUACAAAACUUAAUAAUGUUUUGUUCAGACAAUUUAGAUGACAUUGACAAAUCAAAAACAUAGAGAUUAGUUUUAUAUUUAUUCAUACACCAGAUGUUUGUUUCAUCUACAUUAGACUUAUCGAUAAAGUUCAAAAUUUAAGAAGUUGAUAGGAAAAUCAAAUAUGAAGUUUUAAGAGCAUUAAAACUGAUUUUUUUAGCUCACCUGACCUGAAAGGUCAAGUGAGCUUUUCUCAUCACUUGGUGUCCGUCGUCCGUCGUCCAUAAACUUUUACAAAAAUCUUCUCCUCUGAAACUACUGGGCCAAAUUUAACCAAACUUGGCCACACUCAUCCUUGGGGUAUCUAGUUUAACAAAUGUGUCCGAUGACCUGGCCAUCAAACCAAGAUGGCUGCUAUGGCUAAAAAUAGAACACAGGGUAAAAUGCAGUUUUUGGCUUAUAACUCAAAAACCAAAGCAUUUAGAGCAAAUCUGACAGGGGUAAAAUGAUUAUCAGGUCAAGAUCUAUCUGCCCUGAAAUUCUCAGAUGAAUCGGACAACCCGUUGUUGGGUUGCUGCCCCUGAAUUGGUAAUUUUAAGGAAAUUUUGCAGUUUUUGGUUAUUAUCUUGAUUUUUAUUAUAGAUAAAGAUAAACUGUAAACAGCAAUAAUGUUCAGCAAAGUAAGAUCUACAAAUAAGUCAACAUGACCAAAAUUGUCAGAGAACUCCUUAAGGAGUUAUUGUCCUUUAUAGUCAAUAUUGAACAACUUUUCGUCAUUUUUGUAACUUGUACAAAAAUCUUCUUUUCUAAAACUAUAGGCCAAAUUUAACCAAACUUGGCCACAAUCAUUACAAGGGUAUCUAUUUUAAAAAUGAGUCUAAUGACCAUGCCUGCCAACCUAGAUGGCCAACAUCAGUAAAUACAGUAACAGGUGAGCGACACAUGCUCUUGAGAGCCUCUAGUUUUUAAAAGUUAAAAAAGUCAUUUCUGACUUAAAUUCAUUUACCAAUGCAAGGAUGUUCUGUUUGUUUUUAUGUUUUCAAUCUCAUAGUGCUUCAGUUUGCUUAAAGCUGAUAUUUGAACAAUUGUAAUCCUAAUCAAGAUAUUCUUAAAAUCGUUCCUGAGUCUCGAUUCUCUAUUUCAAUGAAAAAGGUAAUCCUUGAGAAUAACAAGUCUUGUUUGACACUUUUGCAAACUCAAAUAGAGUCUAUUACUGUAAAUUCAGAAAUUAUUGCGAUGUUUUUAUUAUUGCAAAAUAUGCGACAGUUAUAUUCGCAAUAAUUUAAACUCGCUUUUUGAACAGGAUUUUUAUUAAUAUCGCAAAAAUUAAAAUCAUGUUUUAAUCUAAAAUGACAAAAUCACAAUAAUAAAUGGAUGCAUUAAUUUAUGAACUUACAGUACUGUCACUUUAAGUUUAUUGAUAUUUGUAACUUUAAAAAAGACUGCUUUCUUUAAUAGAAGAACAUCUGUGUUUGAUUGUAAAUGAUCUAAUUGUUUCAGAAAUUAAUGUUUGUUUUAGAGUAAAACAAAAGAAAACAAAUCUACAGGGACUAAUUUUUGUCAAUUAUUUUUUUCAGGGCUGUCAAUAAUGCCUUGUUGGACACGUACCAGCUGAAGUCCCUGGAUGGAUUGCUAGAAGCCAGUAUCGAUGAAGUUAAGUUUGUAAAGACGGGAGAUAAAUAUGGCCUACAGUUCAAAGAUGAGGACGACGGGCCUGGAUUGAUGAUAGAUAAUUUUGCUUUACGAGAGCCUUAUGAUAAGAUAAUAAGAUGUCUGGGAUUUAAAUUUGACUUUUCAGUGUUUAACAAGUAAGUUUAUUGAAUUGUAGAAACCUGACUUUUGAGAAUGAUAGAUUUGACUAAUUGUUAGUUUUGAUGAUUUUAUCGCUUUUGCAAUAAAUUUCUUAUAAUUAACAUCCCAGUUGACCUAUUUUUGACCUAAUAAUGCCUUUUGAGCUAUUUAACUAUAAAUUUGAGAGGAAGUCAUUUUUUUAUGCCCCAUUUAUGGGCAUUAUGUUUUCUGGUCUGUCUGAACGUUCGUUCGUUCAUACGUCCCUCUGUUGUACCCUUCGUCCCUGAGUCCAUUCCUCUUCAGUUUUUGGUCGAGGAAGUUUUUGAUGAAGUUGAAGUCCAAUCAACUUGAAACUUACUACACAUGUUCCCUAUGAUAUGAUCUUUCUAAUUUUAAUGCCAAAUUAUAGAUUUUCCCCCAUUUUCAUUGUCCACUGAACAAAGAAAAUGAUAGUGACAGUGUGGAUGGGACAUCCAUGUACUAUGGACACGUUCUUGUUUAAACUUUAUUUUUAGUUAGUUUGAACCUGGAAAAAAAUGAUUAUCUGUUUUAAAGUUUUAUUGGUAUGAUAUUGGGUGAUUUUAAAAUAAAAAUUUAUCAAACAAUAUGCUAGCAUAAUAGAUCCCCAUAAUAUUAAACAUUAUCAUAAUUCAGUUAUCACUUUAUAUUCUCAUCUUGAACAUGCAUGAAAUAGUUGCCACUGAACGUUACUUACUUAAUCCACUUUCGUCCCAUGGGGUACAUAGGGCGACCACACCACUGAACGUUAAGCAUCUAUCAAUUAUUCAAUUAAAAUGUUAACAUUUUGAUUCUACUGCAAAGCUUUAGCAGGGAAUUAGAUCUACUGCAAAGCUUUAUAGCAGGGAAAUUAGAUCUACUGCAAAGCUUUAUAACAGGGAAUUAGAUCUACUGCAAAGCUUUAUAGCAGGGAAUUAGAUCUACUGCAAAGCUUUAUAGCAGGGACUUAGAUCUAUUACAAAGCUUUAUAGCAGGGACUUAGAUCUACUGCAAAGCUUUAUAGCAGGGAAUUAGAUCUACUGCAAAGCUUUAUAACAGGGAAUUAGAUCUACUGCAAAGCUUUAUUGCAGGGAAUUAUAUCUACUGCAAAGCUUUAUAGCAGGGAAUUAGAUCUACUGCAAAGCUUUAUAGCAGGGAAUUAGAUCUACUGCAAAGCUUUAUAGCAGGUAAUUAGAUCUACUGCAAAGCUUUUAUAGCAGAAUUAGAUCUACGCAAAGCUUUAUAGCAGGGAAUUAGAUCUACUGCAAGCUUUAUAGCAGACUUAGAUAUAAGCAGGAAUUAGAUCUACUGCAAAGCUUUAUAGCAGGGAAUUAGAUCUACUGCAAAGCUUUAUAGCAGGGAAUUAGAUCUACUGCAAAGCUUUAUAGCAGGGAAUUAGAUCUACUGCAAAGCUUUAUAGCAGGGAAUUAGAUCUACUGCAAAGCUUUAUAGCAGGGACUAAGAUCUACUGCAAAGCUUUAUAGCAGGGAAUUAGAUCUACUGCAAAGCUUUAUAGCAGGGAAUUAGAUCUACUGCAAAUCUUUAUAGUAGGGAAUUAGAUCUACUGCAAAGAUUUAUAGCAGGGCAUUAUGUCUAUUAGAUUUUGAAUAUUCUUGAUUAUUGUUAAUCUUGAAGUUAUACUACAUUUAACUUUAUUUAGCAUUGAUCUAUUUGACUCUGAAUAUUCUUAAUUGUUGUGUUGAAUCUUGUAGUGAUACACAGAUGUCCAGGGGAUAUGGUAGGUCCAAAAAGUUCCCACGUAUAAACCAUGACUACCAGUCACCUGACAAUCCUGGCAUGUAUUUAGCUGGUGCUGCUACACAUUCAUUAGACUUCAGGAAGUCUGCUGGAGGAUUUAUACAUGGGUAUAGAUAUACAGGUACAAAACAAAUAAUUAAAUAGGCUAUCAUUAAAUUUUCUUGGCCUGAUGAUGCCUACUCAUGCCUUGUUGGGAUUUAAUUUUUACAUGAUUUAGACAAGAAAACGAUGUUAGAGCAGGAAAAAAUCUUAAUAAAAAAAAAAAGGAUUUGUGUCAUAAUUUUUUUGUCGGUAGGUGUAUUUUUAAAUAGAUAUGUAGGAAGGUAGGCAUUUUAAAUAAUUAUUUAAUUUUUUGCCUAAUUUUGUCUUUGUGCUGAAUAUUUGAGACAAAGAAUUAAGGUAAAAAGAAUUAACAAUAAUUGCUUUUAAAAAGGAUAGCACUUGACAUUCCUUCAUUGGCUAGAUUGCAAUCAAUUUGAGAUAUCAGAAUCAAUCAAUUCUAUCUUUUAACAGAGUUUUUUUAGGGAACUGAACAAUCCCAUUGUUUCAAUUUACCAAUUAUUGCUUUAAAAAGAUUGACAUUUGACAAGCCUUUAUUUGGCUUGAUUAGAAUCUAUUGAGAUAUCAGGAAUAUCUUAAAACAUAGAUACUUUGUAACUGAACAAUCCUGUUGUACCAAUUAUACUUAGCUUUGCCCAAAUGUAUUUCUAAUUGGAAAAUGUCAGGUUUAAUCAUGAUUGAUAAAGAGUUCUCUAAUUAGAAGAUAGAAAAGUUUUUUCGGUUUCCUUAUAAGCAUGAAACUGCAAGUCAUAUGGUGUUUUAGAUAUAUUUUUUUUUUAAUUUGCAGACCAUAGAUAUGUCUAUUGUUUGCAAAUCAAAAAAAAAAAAAUAUCACAAAAACCAUUAGAGCUACAGUACCACUGCUAAUGUGCAUGAUGCUAUAAAUGUACAACUCAUACACGUGUGGUGGUAAAAAGUGUAAAGUGUAACCUGGUUUUUACCUCUCAUUACGGUAUACUUUCUGAUGCAGUUGAUUUAUCUUGUGGGUAAUAUUUUGUGAAAAGAAAAAUGCAGAUAACAGUUUAAACAAUUUCCAUAUGAAUAAACUUAAAAGAAAUAUUUCCAUGAAAAAGUAACCCACCUAUUAGAAUGAAAAUUAAUGUCAAUAGAUAGUCCUUAUCUACAAGAAAGCUAUUACAUAAGGCAAUGUCUUACUCUUACAUGGUCCAUACACACCUAAAUAAGAUUAACUCAUUACUCUUACAUAGUCCAUACACACCUAAAUAAGAUUAACACAUUACUCUUGCAUGGUCCAUACACACCUAAAUAAGAUUAACUCAUUACUCUUGGUCCAUACACACCUGAAUAAGAUUAACGCAUUACUCUUGCAUGGUCCAUACACACCUGAAUAAGAUUAACUCAUUACUCUUAAAUGGUCCAUACACACCUGAAUAAGAUUAACUCAUUACUCUUGCAUGGUCCAUACACACCUGAAUAAGAUUAACUCAUUACUCUUGCAUGGUCCAUACACACAGCUGCAGUAUAAAUAUGAUUAAUAUAAAAAUAAGGAGAUGCGGUAUUAUUGCCAAUGAGACAACUAUCUGACAAUGUAGUAGAUGUAAACAAUUAUGCAAUUAUAUACCACCGUACAGCCUUAAACAAUGAGAAAAAUCUGUACCUAUAGGUAAAAAUAAAAGGCAUAGACAUGAAAAAUGUGAAUCAAUUCAAAAGAGAAAACUAACCAUCUAAUUCAAUUAUGACAAAACAAUUUUAGGAAAAUAUAAAAAAAGAAAAAAAAGACAUGAACCCCAACAACCACUUAUGAAUUAACCUUAUACUAUUAAACUCCUAGUUAAAGUUAAAUUUGUUUUUUCUUGUUUCAGCACGAUCUUUAAGUAGAAUUUUAGAUAAUCGCUAUCAUCAAGUGCCUUGGCCAUCAACGACUGUUCCACUUACACAGAUGAUGAACAUCAUGUUGAAGCGUAUUAACGAAGCAUCAGGAUCCUACCAGAUGUUUGAUGUUUUAGCAGAUUUGAUCAUUUUGAAUGAGUAAGUUAUAUAUAAAAUAUUAAGUCAAUGAAAGAAAAGUAUAAACUUUUUUGUAUGAGGCUAAGAAACUGGGGAAAGGCGAGGUCCUACCGAGCCCUUCCAGUUUUGCACAGAGUACAAAAAAGUUUAUUAUUUUAAUAUGACAUUGACCUAAUAUUUUUUUUAUACUGCAACUUUAACAGAUACAUUGAUAGCAUUUGAAAUAGUAACACAAUUGUCAAACUUAUUUUCAUCCCUUAAUGAACCCCUGAUUGUGGAGAAAGUGUUCCAUGAUGAAAUUGACAUUAUACAUAUUAAUAUAGCUAUGUUACUAUAUUUAGGAAAUAAACACAACUAGUUACAGUAUAAAUACUUACGUGUCGAACGUUUUGGUGAACAUAAAUGGAUAAUAUUUUAUUUAAGGAACAGCAGUAAAAUAUUUUUUAGAUUUUCAUUUUCUCUACAUAUAUAUACAACAGUAUGACACAGUUCACAAAAAAAAGAACGGUUACAUAGCAUUUUUACCAGAUAGGGAAGGGAGCAUUGAGCCAAGACUACAGAAAAAUGUUUAAACAAAAUUAAGAAUAGAGAAAAUUAGACUGGGGAUCUAAGAAAUAAAAAAUAUAGAAUAAGGGGUUAAAUAAAAUAAAGAAUUUUUUUUGGUGGUUUAAUUUGAGGGUUUUUUUUUAUUGCCAGAACGCUCUACCUUUAGAAUAAAAAUAAGAUAUAUCUUACGUUAAUAUUUUUUUCUCUUUUAUAGUGAUAACACCACCUUUACUUAUCUAGAAGAAGUUCCUGUCAACUUGAUAGAUAAAUUAGAACAACACACAGGACAUAAUGCAAACAGAUUGAUAGUCCUUAUUAUGCAAUAUGGCCGAGAUUUCUCUGGUCCAGGAAAUGAUGUCUUCCGAAUUAACCGAGCCACUGGAGAACCUGCCGACGCUCACAAUUCUAACUUCUUACAUCCAGUAUUUUAUUAUUAUGAAAAACUUCCUACAGGUUUGUUUCAGUUUGUGAACUUAAAAAAUCUAACUUGUGACUCAGUAUUUUAUUAUUAUGAGAGACACUCUAGAGAUUUGGAUCAGUUUAAGUCUUACUAUAAUGAGAAUAAAGUUUUCUUUGAGAUCUAUAUAAAUUAAGAUUAAUCUUAAGCCAACCUCACUAACUUAGAUUGAUUGAUGUGAUCAAUGUCCCUAUUGUAAUCAUUCCAUGAAUAAAACAUCAAUGUUGAUUAUUGGGGUUUUGUUUCUUGAUCCCUUGAAAUCUGGGGUGAUUAUAGAUAUAUUUUGUAGAUAUUGAGCCUCACUGAUCAUUCACAUGCAGACCUUGAAAGGUAGCACUUUUGCCUUUAGAUUCUACAAAAAGCCAAUCCAUUCAAAAGUUUUUAUUUUUAUAUUUUUAUGCUUUCAGUAAAACUUUGGUCUGUAUGAGGAGUAGCUAUUCUGUAACCAUACACAUCAUAAAUUCUUUUAAAUAAAACCAAACAUGCCAAAAUGCUUUCAUCACUUUUGCUUGUUGUUAUUCAUUAACUUGAAACACUUCCCCAUUUGUAGUAUAUUUUUAAAGAGACUAUUUUUUUUUACAGAAGAAGAAAUGAAGCGUAAAACCGAAACAAUGCCAAGACCUAAUAAGAUACAUCAUAUUGUUGAAGAUUUUUUGACACAAUGGGAUGGUCCUGUCAGUCAUAUUCUACCGCUAAGAAGAUUUCUAGAAGAUGCCACUAAUAUAAACUUACGACACUCGUUUGCUGAGGAAUGUAUGAAAAAAAGGUUACUAUUUCAAACAGUUCCCAUUUCUUGUCAACAGGAUUUUAUGAAAGGUCAAGGGUUGAAAGGAACGCCUGAUUUGAUUAACCUUUCGAAAAGUGCUAAGGAUAUGUAA